Long non-coding RNA from Peromyscus eremicus (cactus mouse), 1433 nucleotides. RefSeq lists it as uncharacterized. The transcript is spliced from 4 exons. The record is from RefSeq and is a predicted model, not a curated record. Lineage: Eukaryota; Metazoa; Chordata; Mammalia; Rodentia; Cricetidae.
GCCUCUCAAGGCUCCCCAGCGGACUCUACUGAGCCUUGAAAAUUCAUGCAGAGUCCAGGAAGGCCCCAAGGAGUCAGGCAGGAGAGAGGCAGGGCUGGCCCAGCAGCAGGUGCCUGACCCUACCAGGGUGCCCGUUGUAGCUGACACCAGAUUAUCCAUGAGGUGAGAGUCUCAUAUUCCCUCUCCUCGAUUUCCAAGAACAGACAAUGAGGUGGAUGGACAGCCUGGAUAUCAAGGAAGAGGUACAGGGUGGAAAGACAGAGCUUUGGAGUCCGUCUUGUCCUCAGACAAAGAAAGCUCUGGGUGGGCAAUGCUAACCUCAGGCAGACUUUCUGAUUUCUCUUGGCCUCAGUCUUUCCUCCUGUAAGAUGGGCAUGAUAAUCUCUCCUCUAUGGGAUUGGAGAAGGCAUGGCGGAUGUGCAUGUCAAAGGAUCUAGGGUUACAGGUGCCCUGUGACUACCAGUUGGUUUUCGUAAGAUGGGUCAUUGCAUGGGACCCCUUGUUGGGCUGUGUUCUUAUGUGAUCCUAGCACCAGCGUCUGCUGCUUAUCUGGGCUGGAAGUGCCUUGAAGGGUGGAACCCCAUCCACCUUGUCACCGUAGUUCACCUUGGGUGCAGGGCAAUACCGCUGUAAAGUGAAGGACAGGAAAAUGUAGCGCACAUCUGCCGCGUCCCCAUUCAGUGAAAAAAAACGAAAGCUGCAGGAAGGGCCUUCCUGUAGCCCCAUGUUUAGGGGUGAUCAUCGGUCAGGAGAGCACAUUUGAAUUGGGGUGUCAGGCAAGUUAGACGUAGAAGUGGUUGACAGAACAGACCCCGGAGCUGGAAAGCCCUGGUUUGGAGCUCCAGUUCCACGGACUCCAUGCUUGUCUGCUCCUCUGGAAGACAGGGGUGCAGCACCAUCUCUGUGAGUCAUUCCAAGGGUUACAAAGACGGACCCUCCACAGUGCUCACCCGCUGCCCCAUGCAGACAUCACACAGGGCUAAGGGCUCACACAACAGGCAGUGGACCACCUCAGUGCAGCAGCUGUAAAGAGAAGUCCAUGUUCUGAAGGAGCUGAAGUCUGAGUGGGGGGCCUCUUAGAGGGUUGCAGGAGUCCUGGGUAUGACAGACACACUGUACUGGGACAAGGAUUUACAGAGGAUUUACAUCACUGCUGGCCCUGGGAGCUCAUGUAGAAGGGGACUAGAGUCUGCCGUUGUCACUGAAGACAUGGAGUACAUGGUGGGGAUGGAGAUGGUGGUUAUAAUAAAAUGAGUUCUAGUCCGCGUUAUUGGCUCAUAAUUGGAACUACAUGAACAAAACUGAUACAAUCUCGCUGAGCCUUCCGUGGCUGAGCAACUGAGCAGACCGCCCAGUUCCUUCCCGCCACCUCCCCCUCUUCCCUCAUUUGUACAUUGUCUCCGAAUCCCUUAAAAUAAUAAAACCUAUUCCAA